GGGAUUGUCAGAGGGGACUAAGCCUAGUUUAGAAGAUAAAUUUGGGAUUUUUUUGAAGAAAACGGAAUCACUUGUUGGUAUACCCGUUGCACGACUUCCUAAUUUGGAGCAAUACCAAUGAAUAUGUUCAGUUUUUGCAUAUUCAUAAACAAUAUGAUAUGUAUGUUAAAUAAUUGUUACUACGUAAGAAAAAAAGUAACUACGUAAGAAAACAAAUAAGACUUUACAUAAUAAAGUUGAACCAUUGGAGAUUAUAAUUCAUCUUAGAUUUAAAUCCUAAAAAUUUAUAUGGAUAUAUUUUGAAUGAAAUAUAUGUACUAUCAGUAAUAAAUUUAUAUAUGAUGUAUAGAAUAACUAUUCUUAUAAAGGUUAAUAUAUAUGGAGGUAUCUGAAUUUGGUAACUUAUAUUUAUAUAAUUCCUAAAUCUUUUGGACCUAACUGGUACUUGAAUUUGAAAACUAUAAGCCAACUUGGUACUCUUUUUAGGUGCCAAAUUAACACCAUUAAAAUACACUAACGUGAUGUUGACAACCAAUAGCAUAAUGACACAUUUUAACACGUGGCAAAAAAUAAAAAAUGAAAUUGACUCACUUCCCUCCAACAACAUAUUUGUUCCAUAUCACUGCCCUCAGGCACCUUUUCUAAACUCAUCCAAGCCUUAUUCAUCUAUAACAAAAAUCAUUAGUGAACUAAGAAACAGGAGAACAUAGCAUUCCAAAGUGCCCACUGAAGUUAUUGUAAACAAGAAUCACAAAUAUAUAUAUAUAUAUAUAUAAAGAAAAGGAGGGGUGUUUAGAUUUUAUAAAAAUGAAAAAAAGAAAGAAAGAAAAAAGACAAGAGGGUUUACCUUGUAGGAAAUGAGACCAGAAACUCAACAUUAGCACGGAGGAGCUUGGAAUUGGAUUUCGAGCUAGUUUAGCAUUGUUUUUGAAAAAUGCUUUUGAGAAAUAUUUUUGAAAAGCUUAAUCAAGUGAUAAAGAAAUUGAUAAUGAUUUAACAUUUUAAGUAGUAAUGAAUGAAUAUGUUAUCAGCUUUAGAAAGAAAAAAAAAAUCAAAGUGGUAAUAAAUGAUGCAUGUAGUAGAUGUGGUUGCUUUAAAUUAUAAGAUUAGGAACCUCGUGUGUUGGCUUGAUGGUCAGGGAGUACAUUGCCGUAUUGCCUCGAGGCAGCAAUUUCGGGUUUUUUCCAUUUUGUUUAGGAAGAAGGAUGUCUGUUGGGGUUUCUCUAGCAGAGAAGAUGGUGGCACCGCUCUUGGGCUCUUUGGUGCACUCUUUUGAAUGAGGAUUGUUAGAUGUUAGAGGGGACAAAGCCUAGUUUAGUAGAUAAAUUUGGGAUUUUUUUUGAAGAAAAAGAAAUCACUUGUUGCUAUACCCGUCGCACGACUUCCUAAUUUAGAGCAAUACCAAUAAAUAUGUUUAAUUUUUGCAUACUCAUAAACUAUAUAAUAUGUAUGUUAAAUAAUUGUUACUACGUAAGAAAAAAGUAACUUCUUAAAAAAAUAAAUAAGACAUUACAUAGUAAACUUGAGCCAUUAGAGAUUAUAAUCCAUCUUAGGUUUAAAUCCUAAAAGUUUAUAUGGUUAUGUUUUUGAAUGAAAUAUAUACUUGUGCUUAUAUAGUUUACUAUCACUAAUAAAUUUAUAUAUGAUGUAUAGAAUAAUCAUUCUUAUAAGGGUUAAUAUAUACGGAGAUAUCUGAAUUUGGUAACUUAUAUUUAUUUGGUACCUGAUUUUGAAAAUCAUAAGCUAACUUGGUACUUUUUUUUUAGGUACCAAAUUUAACACCAUUAAAAUAUAAUAACGUGAUGUUGACAAUCAAUAGCAUAAUGACACGGUUUAACAUGUCACAAAAUAAAAAUAAAAAUGAAAUUGAUUUUUAGCACUAAGUCGUACACUGGGAGCAUGCAGUAUAUGGUAUUUCAAAAGAAAUUAUGAAAGCAUGGGCAACACAGUUUACGAUACCUUUGGAUGAAUAGUGCGUUUACCUAUGGUUAGUGUAAAAACAACGAUGACGGUGAAAUUAGAUACUAUAGCAUAAAGCAAAAAGAAAGAUAAACACAUCGCAUUGGAGGUAAACGUUCAUCCAAAGGGGCCCUUAGACUACUUCAAUCUAGGUGCACAUGAACCAGGUUACUGAGCUUCCAUCCAAUCCUACAACAACCGAUAGGCCAUGAUAAUGAUAUCAUUUUUAGUCCUUAUAAUUUUAAAAUUUUAAUUUUAAUUAAUACAAUAAUUGUAAAUUUUAUUUAUUAAAAUAAUGUUAUUUUUUAAGUAUCAUGUAAAAAUAAUAAAUUUACAUAAAUGUUUAAAUUAUCGAAAUUAAUAAAGAUUUCCUCAUUAUAUAGGUGCAAAUUGACAUAUGGAUAUAAAUAUUUUCAAUAAAAUAAUUGACUAGUACGCUUUGAGUUGAUCAGAAUCUUGGUCAGCAGAACUGUGUUGACAGUAGACUUUUGCAAAAUUAUUCAUGCCACAUUUUGUCUUUUUUAAGUUGAAUAGUUCCUAAUUCUAUUUUUAUAAUUUAUUUGAAUUUUUAUUAAGUUUUUAUAAUAUUUAUAUAUUUUUAGAAUUUUUAAUGAAUUUUAUAAUUUUUUAAAGUUUAUAUAAGAUUUUAAUAUUUUCAUAAUUUUAAUAUUUUUAUGAUUUUUAUUUGAAAAAUGAAAUAUUAAAUCAGAGCUAUCAUAGUGUUGCCUUCUGAUUAGUCCAUUAAUUAACUUUAACAAUCAAUAUGAUCAAAGACAAAAAUUAUUAACGGAAGAGCUUAAUUGAUUUUUAGUUUAUUCUUAAGCACAAAUGGUACGUAACUCUGUAAAGUCGAUAUAAAGACAACAGUGAUUCAAACACAUGAAAACAAAGAGCUUAACCUAUGGAAACAGACACAAACUAAUUUAUACAAUGUGUAAAUGAUGAGGAUUUAUUUUUUUAUUAAGAUUAAAUUGACACAGUAUAUAAAUAUUGAGAGUUAAAGUUGCUAUUAUGCUAAUUUAAAAAAAUUAUCACAGUUAAUCAACUAGUGACAAAAAGAUACAAUAUUGAAUAGUUGGUGACCAUUUUGUAAUUUUGCAUAUUAGGGCAGCCAAAAAAAUUUACUAAUAGUUGGGUGAUAAUUUAGUAACUUUCCUCUUAGUUGAUUGAUUAAAAAAUAAUAAUAAUUGGAUAACUACGAGUGCAGUUUACCUUUUAAUUUUUUUAAUUGUGUUUGAUAACUAUGUUAAUUUUUUACUUAAUAUGAAAUUUUCUAUAAAAAAAGUCUUGAAUAUGUUAGGUAAGUAGAUAGCUACUUAUAACUUAAUAUGGAAAAUAUUAUGUUGAUUUUUCAAAACCUUACUUAUAACUUAAUAUGGAAAAUAUUAUGUUGAUUUUUCAAAACCUUACUUUUGAAAUAAAUUAUUUUCUCAUUUUCAUAAAAAUUAAAAAUUAAAAAAUUAUUUUUAAAAACUUUCAAAAUAAAAUAAAUAAUACCAUAUUACUAAGAUUAAAAUUAUAAAAUAAUAAAUUUUAAAAAAAUCAAAAUAUAUUAUUAUCAAAUAAAAAAAUUAUAUUCUACUAAUAUAUCAAAUAGUUUUAUAAUAUGAAUUUAAUAAUUAUAAAAUUCAGAAAGUUUCUGUUUAUAAAACACACCCUUAUGUUAUAUUAAUAGUGGAAUAAGUCUGUUUUAGUCUUAUAUCCAAUUUCUCAAUUUCUUUUUCUUGUACGAAAUUUGGUAUCGGAGAAGGAAAAGUUAAUAAUAAAUACAAGAAAUUUUAUUCAUAUAUAUAUAUAUGUUUGUAGAAAUUGUGUAUUUAGAAUAACAUAUAAUAAAUGAUGAAACAAAUUGUUUGAAAUUAAUUAAUAAUAAGGGGUAUUUAAUACACUGGUAAUAUAUAUUUUUUAUUCCAUAAAUACCUUAAAAUUUUGAAAUGUGUUUUUUAUUUAAUAUUUAUUUUAUAAUAUUUUACUAAACCCCUAUAAGACACUUGUAACUCCCCAACCCGGCCUAAACAUUACGGCCGAAUCCGAAAGCGUUACGUAAGAAUACUAAAAAUCCAACUUCCUUUUAAUAUGAAACCAUCGUAAACCGUUGUUACUUAGUAAGCCUGAUUUGUUUGGAAAACGUGUUGACAUAUUUAUUUAAUUUAAAAAUCGUUAUUCAUUUACGUCUUUCAAUUAAAUCAUUUAUUUUGCAGCGGAGUAUCUUAAAAAGUUAUAUUUUAGUCAAUUGAAUUGUUUCAUUAAAAACCGUUAUUUUCAAAAAAAAAUUAUCAUUUUCGUAAAAACCCGUUUUAUCGGUCUUUAUGCUAGAAAACCAAAAUAAAAAUCCAAAACCAAAAAUAGUCCGAAUAGUAAAAAUAGUUUUACGGUGUUGUGAACACAAUCGAGCUCUCGUCGUACUGACCCCCUAAGUUUGAGGGUUACCUGAAAGUAACAGACAAUAGAGAGUGAGUUUUGAUAACUUCUUCUGUAAUGCAUACAUAAACAUAAAGUCAAAUUCAAUCAGAUGGCAAAAUAGAUACAGACAUAAGUCUUUUAUAGAAUUAGAUUCAUAACAGAGUCGUAUAGAUACAGAUAUGCAUGGUCCUACCCCCAUCCUUUACACACCAACUCCGACCAUCCAACACACCAUAUGGGGUAUUAAACACCGACCCAGCCUAAACACCGCAUAGUGUCCAUACUACACUUUUCAAAAUAAUCGCAGCAGUGCUACCAGAAUAUUAACAAGAUAUCGCCUCACACAGAUUACUUUCUCCACAUAAUACAUACCCCGCCCCAUAUUCAGAUACAAAUAGAAUACCAGAUACAACAAAAUUAACAGAUACCAAAAUUAAUAUAUCAGGCAUGCUCGUAUAACAAAUAAUAAACAUGCAUAUACAUAGUAGAUAAUUUCGCAUUACAUUACAUGCAUUUAGGUGUUGUUUGCGUCAGAUUCCAUAUAAAAAAAUUAUCAGAUUCCAUGCUUUAAGGCUUGCCUAAACACAUACAAACCCCACAAAAGGCCCACAGUCAAUCAGAUAACAUGCACGACCCUAAGGAAAAAUUCUAAAUUUUGGACCCACAUGGCCCAAAGUGGCUUGCCCGUGUGGCGUCGAUAGGCCCCAAUUUUGACUUUUACCGAUUGUCGUUUUUUGAGUUUCUCGUUACACACCUAGUUCGCUUUCGAUUCGGAAGCACUCAUGAGCCUACCAUCACCUGAUUAAAUAGAUCUCAAGUCAAUUAAUACAUUCCUACAUUGAAUCUAAAUUCAAAAAUUCACAACACAAUAGCCUUAGUUUAACGUUUAACAACUUACCUCCAAAUAAACAGCCGAACACAACGCACCUAACUUGUCGAAGGAUCAAUCGCUUCGUGAACUUCUCCUAACAACACUUAAAUGAUUAAUACGACACCACAUAUAGCUUAUGAACAACAAAUAAAAUCGAUAAAGCAAAUCAUAACACUUACUCAAGAAUGGUUUAACUAAAAAUUCACAAGACACCACCACCAAAAAAUGUUUGAAAAGGGGUUUGUAAAUGAUUAAGCAAGAACAAUUGCAACCAAAACAAGUACUGAUUCCCAUGUGAACAAUUUCACAAACACAAAAUAAAAACUUUGAGGCGCUACAACUCUCCUCCCCUAAAAGAAAUUUUGGCCUCAAAAUUUACUUGAUUCAAACAGAUAUAGAUACUAUUGACAAAUUGAGUCCUCAGAUUCUUACGUUGCUUCUUCGGUACCGUGAUUUCGCCACAAAACCUUAACCAACGGAAUAGAUUUCCUCUUUAAGACCUUCACAUCUCGAUCUAGAAUCUAAAUGGGUUCCUACUCAAAAGUCAAAUCUUCUCUAACCUCAAUCUCCUCAACGAAAAUAACAUGCGAUGGGUGAAACAAUACUGCCUUAAUAUAGAUAUAUGAAACAUAUCAUGGAUACAGUUUAACCCCAGAGGUAGCUCUAACUGAUAAGCAACUGGCCCUACACGUUUCAGACUCCGAUACGACCUAAAGAACCUAGGGCUCAACUUGCCAUUAUGUCUAAAUCAUAGAACCUUUUUCUAUGGAGAUACCUUGAGAAACACGAAAUCACCCAUGGAGUACUCAAUAUCCUUCCUUUUCAGACAUAUAUAGGACUUUUGUUUACCAGAAGUCGCUUUAAGAUGAUUCCAAAUCAGUCUAACUUUAUCUUCAGCCUCAGAAAUCAACUCAAGACCUAAAAUCCGUCGCUUACCCAACUCAGUCCAACACAACGGAGUACGACACUUACGACCAUACAAAGCCUCGUAAGGUGCCAUCUGAAUGUUAGACUGGAAACUAUUAUUGUAGCCGAACUCGGGUAAUGAUGGAAAAUCAUCUCAACUGCCUCAGAAAUCAAUCACAUAACUCCAAAGCAUAUCAUCUAGUAUUUGAAUCACUAUAUCAGAUUGACAAUCUGUCUAAGGAUGGAACGUAGUACGAAAAUCCAAUCUUGAACCUAGAGACUCAUAAAAUUUUCUUCAAAAUUGAGAAGUGAAGCAAGGAUAUCUAUCCGAAAUAAUCGAAACAAGAACCCCAUGAAGUUUCACGAUCUCAGAAAUGUAUAGCUUGGCCAACUUUUCAAGAGAAUAAUCUGUUUGAACAAGAAUGAAAUGGACAGACUUGGUCAACCGAUCUAUGAUGACCCACACAGAAUCUUUCUUAGUAGAUGUUAAGGGCAACCCACUAACGAAAUUUAUAGUCACACAUUUCCAUUUCCAUAAGGGAAUCUUAACGAUUUAAAACAAACCUGAAGGCAAUCGGUGCUCAACCUUCACUUGCUGGCACGUUAGACAACGAGAAACAAAGUUUGUCACCUCCCGUUUCAAACUAGGCCACCAGUAAAGUUCACAAAGAUCUCGAUACAUCUUAUUUCCAUCGGGAUACAUAGCAUAAUGGCUACUAUGUGCUUCCUGUAGAAUAGACUGUCUCAAAUCAGAGUCAUUCGAUACAUAAACCUGUCAUCGAACACAUAAAACCCUAUCACCAUUUAGCUCAAAGUCAGAAGUACUACCAUCUUUCAUUUGACGAAAUCGGAGAACCAAAGAAUCAUCCCUCAACAGUUUAUCCCGAAUCUAAUCAAUCCAAGUCGGCUUAACUUGCAACUUAGUUAAAAGACUCCCAUCAUCAAACAGAUUUAGACGAGUAAACAUUGCCUUCAAAUUAAACAUAACCUUACGACCAAGAGCAUCGGCCACUACAUUGGUCUUACCAAGAUGGUACUCAAUAGUACAUCCAUAAUCCUUAAGCAGUUCAAUCCAUCUACGUUGCCUAAGGUUCAACUCUUUCUGGGUAAAGAGGUACUUAAGAUUCUUCUGAUUGAUGUAGAUGAUACACCUCUCACCAUACAGAUAGUGCCUCCAAAUUUUUAGGGCAAAUACCACGACAGCUAACUCGAGGUCGUGCGUCAAAUAAUUCCCCUUAUAUGACUUAAGCUGUAGAGAUGCAUAAGCCACAACCUUAUCAUAUUACAUCAGAACACAUCCCAAAUCGACAUGUGAUGCAUCAUUAUAUACUACAAACUCUUUACCAGAUUCAGGCUGUCUCAAAAUAGGAGCCUGAGUCAAAAUAAAUUUGAGCUUUUCUCAAAGCUUGAUUGAUACUCAUCAGUCCAGACGAAAGGAGCAUUCUUACGCAACAACUUAGUCAAAUGAGCUACAAUAACGAGAACCCCUCAACAAAUCUCUGAUAAUAUCCCACAAAACCUGGAAAACUGCGGAUCUCAAAAACAUUUCUAUGUUGUUUCCAAUCAAGUACAUACCCUAGAAAAGUUACUUCCCUUAACCAGAAUUCACACUUACUCAACUUAGUGUAGAGUUGUUUCUCUUGAAGUAUCUGAAGAACUACCCUAAGAUAUUCAUCAUGACCAACUUCGAACUUAUAGUAUACCAAAAUAUCGUCGAUGAAGACCAUGACGAAUUGAUCAAAAUACGACUGAAAAACCCGGUUCAUAAGAUCCAUGAAUGCAGCCGGAGCAUUCGUCAAACCAAAGGGCACGACUAGGAACUCGUAAUGCCUAUAACGUGUCCUAAAGGCAGUCUUAUGGAUGUCAGCCUCUUUAACCUUAAGCUGAUGGUACCUUGAACAAAGAUCUAUCUUGAAAAACAUAGCAGCCCCACAAAAUUGAUCAAAUAGAUCGUCGAUUCUCGAAAGUGGGUACUUGUUCUUCAUUGUCAACUUGUUUAACUGACAAUAAUCAAUGCACAUCCUUAUGGUACUAUCAUUUUUCUUUACAAACAAAAUUGUGCCCCUAGAGAGACAUAUUGAGACGGAUGAAACCACGAUCAAGGAGUUCUUGAAGCUGAGCCUUUAACUCCACACAGCCUACUACACGGCCAUGUGGCGUUGACAAGCCCCAAUUUCGAAUUUCAUCGAUCAUUGUUUUCCGAGUUGCUCGUUACACUCCUGAUUCUCUUUUGAUUUCAAAACACUCACAAGCCAACCAGCACCUAAUUUAAAUAGAUCACAAGUCAAUUAAUACGUCCCCUCAUCGAAUCUAAAAGCAAAAAUUCGCAACACAACAAUCCUAAUUUAAUGUUUAACAACUUACCCCAAAUGAACAACCGAACACCACCGCUCCUAACUUGUCGAAGGAUCAACCGCUUCGUGAAUUUCUCUUAAUAACACUUAAAUGAUUAACAUGACACUACACAUAACUUAUGCACAACAAAUAAAAUCGAUAAAGCAGAUCGUAACACUUACUCAGGAAUGGUUCGACUAAAAAUUGACAAGACACCCCCACCAAAAAUUGUUUGAAAAGGGUUUGCAAAUGAUUAAGCAAGAACAAUUGCAGUCAAAGCAGGUACUGAUUCCCACAUGAAACAAAUUGUGUAGCAAAUCAAAUGGAAAAGAAAGAAAAAGAAAUUGAAAGAAAAGAGAAAAUUUGGAAGCACAUGGAAACGUGAAAACUAGAAAGGACUUUCAGGUUUGUCGGGAUUUUUUUAUUAAUAUUUUUAUUUAUACAAACCAAAAUUUAAAAACAACCAACUACACUUAGAAUCCACUACCAUCACAAAAUAAACUCAAUUAAUCACACAAAGACUCAAACCCAAAGACCCUUAAUGCAUCAACAAGGCCCUCAACCACUUCAACAAGUACUUAUCACAUGAUAAAAUUUCACAAACACAAAAUAAAAACUUUGGGGCGCUACAACACUUGUUAACCCCUGAUGCUACUUGUGGAGUCUAAAAACUUCAAUGAUAGUGUACUAAAUAAUUUCUCUUAAUAAUAACGCAUGAAAUAUGUACAAUAUUAAAAUGAAAAAUAUAUAUUAGAUGUGAGUAAAACAAAAUUUAAAUAUGUAAACGAUACCCUCGUAAAGUUAAAAUUUUAUUGACAUAAACAGCACAGGUUCAAGUCCAAUCGCACACAAAUUUUUAUUUAGUUAUUCUAAAAAUAAGAAAAAUGACUAAAAUACCCUCAAAUAAUGUAACUUAUUUAAUCACGAAAGGACAUUUUUGUAAUCCUUUUAACUAAGUUUGUACUUAGUUGACUCAUCACACCAACUUAAAGAUUAAUUUAAAUAAUAGUAAGCAUAGAUAAAUACAAUUUGUUGAGGUAAAAUUAAUGUUUUAUUGAAAUAAAUUGCAUGAGUUUAAAUAUGUGAAAGGUCAUUGUAUUCUUUUGAAAAUUAAAAUUUAGUUCUUAUAUUUUAAUUUUGAAACAUUAAGUCCCUAUGUUUUUUUAUUUAAAAAUCUUCAUCACUUUGUCUAAUUUUUUCGUUAAAAUUAAAAAUAACUUUUUUAGCCCUCAAUAUUUAUAAUUUUUUUGUCAAUUUGGUCCUUAACCUUUAAAGUACAUAAAAAUAACUUUUCCAUACUUUAAAUAAAACAUAAUAAAUUAAAAAUAUUAUAUUUUUAAAAAAUGAAAAAAAAACUCUUUAAAAUUCAAAAAAGGAUUUUUAAAAUAUAAAAAUUUCAAAAUUCAAUGUUAUCUAAACUAGACCGAACCAGUAGUUGGACCGGUUGGACUGGGAAUUGGGUGGAGUAUCGAUUAUAAAUCGAAUUAAAUUUUACAAUUUGAAUAUACGAUUGGUGUAAAUACAAUGUUUCUAAAUACCAAAUUAAAUCAUUAUUAACUUUACAUCUAAAAAAAUUUAUAAAAAAAAACUAAAGGAUAUAUAAAAAAACUUAAAAAAUAUAAAAAAAAACCCCUAAACUCUAACCUUACUUUAGAAAUUUAAAAGAUUGAAUCAUUUCCCUCCAACCAUAUCCCUGCCCUUACGCACCUUUUCUAACCUCAUCCAAACCUUAUUCAUCUAUAACAAAAAUCAUUAGCAAACUAAGAAACAAGUGAACAUAGCAUUCCAAAGUGCCCAUUGAAGUUAUUGUAAACAAGAAUCACAAAUAUAUAUAAAGAACAAGAGGGGUGUUUAGAUUUUAUAAAAAUUAAAAAGAAAAAAAAGACAAGAGGGUUUACCUUGUAGGCAAUGAGAUCAACCAGAAGCUCAACAUUGGCACUGAGGUGUUUGGAAUUGGACACACCGUUUGGACACACCGUUUUGUGGUUUGGACACAGCUCUUUUACAUGGCUUGGACACACCGUUUUGUGGUUUUGCCCAGAAUUUUGAGAAUUGUGCAGUUUAGUCCAUGUAUAGUCCUCGAACUAUUUUUGGAGUUUUAUUUCUCUCAAUUAGUCCCUGAUGAUAUGAAUAUUCUUGAGCCUAUGAUCUGAUUGACUGAAUUAUUAUUGUUAUAUGCAUGAUAUGUGAAUAAUACAUGCAUAUCGUCACUGUAUUUCUAAUGAACUGGUAAUGUUAUUCAUACCACUUUGAUACUGAUUGCAUGUUAUGAUGCCUACUGCUACUGUUAAAUCAAAUACAUGUUAAGCAAGUUUAUUGCUACUAUAAUGAUCUGUUAUAAGCAUGUUAAUUGCUACCUUAUUGAUCUAUUAUAAGCAUGAUAUAUGCUACUGUAUCAACUUUCUAUAAGAAUGUUAUUGCUAUCGUAUUGAUCUAUUAUAAGCAUGUCAUGUUGCAUUGCAUGGAGUGGGAUGAUCUGAACGGAGGAAGGUUCAACAACUUAUUUGCAACGACAGUGGUUUAUCCACAAUGUAUUUUAGUUAGCAGUUUGUCUGCAAUGACUAGUGGUUCAUCCACAACAUAUUUUAGUCGGUAAUUUAUCUGAAAUAACCAGUGGUUCAUUCACAACAUAUUUCAGUCAAUAGUUUAUCUGCAACAACCAGUGGUUCAUCCAUAACAUACUAGCAACUUUCAUCUACAUUGAUGGAUGGUUCAUCCACCAAUAUUUUUAUCAUUAGUAGUUCAUUUGUAAUGAUCAAUGGUUUAUCCAUAACAUGGUGUAAAGGUAGAGGGUUCUGGGGAAAUCCUAUUGUAGUGUGUAGCGGAGUUGGGUAGGAUCUAUUAUAAUAAAUUGAAAUUGCAUCACCAUUCAUGAGCAUGUGCAUUCAUAAACUGUGAAUUCUAACAUAUUAUAAAAUUAGCGUGUUGAUCUAAAGAAUUGAUGCUUUGAACCACUAUAUGAGUGUGAUUUUUCUGAGAAUUUCUAUGUUGUAUGAGUCAUCUACUAUUUGCAUUGAUUUACUUGUGAUAUGAGUCAUACUGAGCUUCAUAAGUUCACCCCUUUUUAAUUUUCAUCUUUACAAAUAGCCCACCAGGUUAGGACGUGGACAUGGCAUCCAGAAGGUCUCGACUCGGGUUGAAUGUUUUUUAUGAGAGUAUUUUAGAUUUAUUCGAAUAAUUCGAAUAAUUGUAAUAUCAAACUAUGAUAUUUUACAUUUUACCCCAAACUCCUAAACCUUUUUACUUUUCCCUCAAAACUUUUACUCCUUUCCACUUCCCCCCAAAACUUUUACUUCUCUCCCCUCCCAACCCCCCAAUCUACCUAAAAUCUAUUUCCUACCAAAAUUUUACUCUCACAUUUACUUUUUCUCAAAAUUUUACUCCCAAAAACCCUCAAAACCAUUUAUUUUCCCCCAAAAUUUUUACUCCCUCCCACUUUUCCCCUAAAAUUUUUAUUCCCUUCCCAUUCCACCUCCCAUCUACUCCAAACCCUCCCCCCUCCAAUUUUUUUUUUAAUAUUUUCCCUCCAAAAUUUUACUACCCCUAUUUACAUUCCCUCAAACUUUUAUUCCCCAAUACUUUUUAUUUCCCCCCUAAACUUUUACUUCUUACCCUUUACUCUCAAAUAAAAAAUUAAAAUUAUCCAAAAAAAAUUACUAAACAUAAAUAGUAAUAAUUUUAUUUAUAUCUACUAUUUAUAUUAUUAAAUUAAAUUUCACAUUUUAUAUUAUUUAUAUUAUUGAAUUGUUUAGUCAUAUUUAAUAUUUAUAUUAAAAUUGAAUUAUUAAUUAUGCCAUAAAAUAUUCGUGUUAAAAUUUUAUAUUGGUAUCAAUUUCACAUUUUAUUUUUAAAUAACUUUUAUUAAAAAACCAUAUUUUUACAUUUAAUAUAUUUUUUAAUUCCAAAAUACAUAGUGACAAGAAUUUGAAAAUAAUUGAAACAACUAAGCAAGCAAAGAAGCUAACCAGUAUAUAAAAAAUUAAUAAAUAAAUUAUGAGGCGGUGAAAGUUAAUAAAAAAUUUGAUUAAGAUGGACAAAUUUUAUUACGAUGGGUGACAAUGGUUACAAGGACCCAAAAUUAUUUUUUAAAAUUUAACUCGAACAAAUAUAUUCGAUUCGAUUCGAUUCGAAUUCUAUCUCACUCGACUCGAUUCGAGAAAACUUCAAAUAAAGUUAGGAUGAUAAAAUGAGAUUCGAAAACUUGAUUAACUCAAAAAUUUUCGAUUCGAUUCGAUUCGAUCGAAUGCUCACCCCUACUUAUAUAUGUGCAUUAACGUAUGUACAUUUUUUUUUAUUUUUUACGAUUUUCAUAUUCACCCAUACAUGCAUUUUUUAUAUAUAUUGCAUUCCAUCUUUUUAUAAGUAUUAUCGUAUGUGUGUUAAAUAUAUGCGUACACAUAUUUUCAAAUUUACUUGUAUAUUGUACUUUUAUAUGUAUAUUUGUAAAUAUUUAUUCCUAUAUGUUUUAAAUUAAAGUAUUUGUAUCAUAUUGUACAUUAAUUUUUUAACAUAUCCUUUUUGAAAAUAUAGUUUGGUUUUAACCAUACAUCAAAGUUAUUUUCUUGAUUCAAAGGUUUUUUUUUUGAAUAAAAGCAAUAUUCGAAAGUUUGGGAUUUUCGAGAGAAAUUGAGCCUUAAUGUAUUGGGUUCUGAUUUUCUUUGUUAAUUUUAAAUAACCGAGGAUAUUCUUUAUUCAAAAUGCAUGAGUAUAAAAAUCAUUUUUGGGAACUUAACUUGUUGUGUCCUAACGCAUUGGGUGUGGCAUGUUACUUUCUCAAAAUGAAGAUUUUCACAUAAAAUAAAAGUGAUAUUCAAAGUUCGGGGAUUAUGAGGAAUUGUACCCUAACGUAUUGGGACUCGAUUUCUUUACAUGACUUGAACAAUUGAUUAUCCUUUUUCAAAUUUCAUCAUUUGAGUUGAUUUUAAAAUCUUUUUAACCUUCGACACUAAGACAUUAAAUGAUCAAUUUGGUACCGAUUUUAGGCGUUACGAGGGUGCUAACACUUCUUCGUGCGUAACUGACUCCCGAACUCGUUUUCUCAAAAUUCGUAGACCAAAAUAAUUUUUAAGGUGAGCCGAUCACACCUUAAUAAAAGAUCGGUGGCGACUCCAACUUUAUUUUUAAAGUCGACAACUAAAAUUUUUGUUUUCAAAAAAACAGUUUCGACAUAUACAUUAUGUAUUAAACAAAUACAAACAUACUACUUAAUAUAUAAAGUAAUUGAAUUAGGAGAGAAGCAAAGCGAUAGUAACUAAUGUUUUAAUUUUUCGACUUUUAAAAAUUUAUUAAUUAAUUUAUUUAAUUUUAAAAUGAAAAAAAUACUUAUAUUCAUAUUUUGAGAAAAAUAAAUUAAAAUAUAUUUUAUUAAUAAAUAAAAAUUCAAGUCAACUUACAAACUAAAUUACAAAGUAUCUUGUCCAAAGUUCAACAGGAAAUGCCAUUAGCUUACCAUUGGGUAGGAGUAUUGGAUUAGUUUAUAAUAAUAAUAAUUAUAAUAAUUUAGAUAUUGAGGUUGAAAAAUGUGCUUCUAAAAAUUGCUCUUCAAAAUUUUGAUAAUAUUUAUCAUUACUAUUAAAAGGUGUUUUUUGAAAAGAUAAAAUAUCCAUUAUGGACAGUAUAUUGUAAAAUUAAAGAUUUAAUGAUGUAUAAAAAGAUAAUAUUCUUGAAAAGUGCUUUUUCUGAAAAUCAAAAGUUAAAAUUUUUGGCUUGGGUUAAAAUCCUGGUUAAGAUUUAAGGUGGAUUACAAAAAUAAAAUCUAAUCUUGUAUCCCCACUAAUAGUUUCCAAAUUCGAGUAAAUGAAUUAAGGUACGUUUGAGUCGAUCAUGCUCAGAAGAUGAUUAAGAGAAGGAAAUCUAUAUUCUCCCUAUAUUUUCAUUUUGUCCCAAUGUGGUGUCUUGUGAUAUUGAUCUACUACAACCAGAGGAGCACUCUUUUGAUCCAUGGCAUUAAAAUUAGUAAGAACAGUAUCUUUGUCUCUCAUUUGUUCUUCCGAGCUAAUAUUGAAGAAUGUAGUAUGGUGAAAUCAAUUUUUGUUUGGAAGGAGUGUUUAAUGCUACAAAGUCUGAUCUAAUAGUUAAUCCUUAGUCACUCUUUAAGUUCAUGAGUAUAUUUAAAAAAAAUCCUGAAUGUCAUGUUUCUAAGCAUCCCAGAACCUAUUCAGGAUUUAUAUGGAGCAUCUGUGGGGUAGAAGAAAGUUCUUUCAACCUAGUUUCAUUUACCUUAGAUUAUCUAAUUAAAAGAAAAUUAAAAUAAUUGUCCCUUAUCAAUACUUAAGUAAUUCGGUGUAAAUAUAUUUGUUUUUGGCUUUCACUGCUGACCAUUUGGCACCAUUUUGUCCCUUACCAAUACUUAAGUAAACCGGUGUAAAUAUCUUCUGUUCUCCUCAAACCUCCUGUUGAACGUCUAAAUGGUGUGAUUAUGUCGAGUCGAACUUGAUACGCAUAGCACACAUUACGUACAAAAUGGUUAGUUAUUAUAGGAACUAGAAUUGAUUUUAUUUUCUUGCGAGUUUUAAAUAACUUUAUAGAAUCGGGUCUCGUUAUUAUAUAACGUAGGUUUGUUUCAAGUUCGAAAGUUAUAUCAUUUUAUUAUUUCCAAGACAUUACCUAUUUAGAAACGGUCCGGAAACUAAAAUCGUGACUUGUAAACUUAACACGAGCUGAAAUCUUUUGAUCAAUCCUUUUUUUUCUUCAGUUUCUUUUUUUUUCUUUUGUCUUUUGUUGCUUCAAACCCCGACAAAUUCUCUUUUGAAUCGAUUGUUUAUUGUUUGAAUCGAUUCAUCGUGGUUUAAAUCGAUUCUUUUUUGAAUUAACUCAAUUAAAAAACCUAACAUCCCGCCCAUAUGAGCUGGUAUAUAUACAGCAGACGUACUUAGGGGAAUAAGAAACGUAAACAUGGAAUAAAUGAUUUGACACAGGUUGGGGCACAAGUCAAGACAGAAAAAAAAAAGUAAUGUGAAAUUUUAAUGCUUGAUUUGAUUUUCAAGCAACCCAUUUGAUACUCUUUUUUUUUUUUGCUUUACAAGGACAUGAAUAAAAACUGGCGAGCUGAAGUUGAUCUUGGCAGUGUUCCUGAACAUCCAUUUAUCCUUAUUGGAUAAUGUGGCCCUCUGACACUUCCCAUAAUCCAUUUAAUGAACUGAUCUUUUAAGGAUAUUUCACUUUUUUAGUUUUUACAAGUAAACUUUAAGAACAAUGCAAGUUUAACAUCGAUCGGGCACUUAAUCAACUCGAGAAAUCCAAAUUUAAAUUGAUCAAAAUUUAGAAGGAUUCUAAUAAAAAGAAAUUUAAACUUAAAAUAAACUGAUUUAAAAACCCAAAACCUCAAAUUUAAUUGAAUUGAAUUUAAAACUAUUCAAGUCGAAUCCAAAAUUACUUAAAACUAAAAUAUCCUAAAAAUGUUAAAACUUGAAUUGAUUGAUCCAAAUCACCCAUCCGUUCAAUUGAAUGACCACACAUCAUCGUCAUCACCCACAUAAGGAGUAUAUAGAUUUUUUUGUAUAAUGAUUACCUAUAGUGCGAAAGCCUCAAUUGAAGAUUGAAAUUGUAAUAGCUCUAGAAGUCAAUCGACAACAAGUUGAGCAAUAAAUUUGGAGUGACUGUAUUAUAAAAUAAGAGAUUAACGUGUUAUAAAAUAAAAAAGACAAAAAAGUAAAGAACAAAGAGAAUGAGAGAGCAAAUAGAGAGCAUAUUUUAUUGAUCAAUCGCAAAUUAUUUAUAAUGUUUCUUCAAAGUCUAUAUUUAUGGACAUAAGAAGUAUAAAUGAAAUAAAGCUCUAUUUCUAAUGACCAUUAAAAUUUAAAGUAUAUCAAAACUUAUCUAGAUCUUGAUAGACAUCCAUUUAAUAAUAAAAAUAUCCAUAACAAUUUUUUCUUUUUUUAACCUAUUUUGUUUCUUGACAUAAUUUUUCGUUAUAAGAAAAGAAAAUUUUAGAAUAAUUUUUAUUUCUACAAUUUAUAUUUUGAAAAAUAAUUCAAAUAAAUUGAAAUUUUGAAUAGAAUCCAAAAAAGAAAAUUUUGUGAAAUAUUUUGUAUUUUCUUGGCUAAAAGAUUAUAUUAAAUUCAAUUUCACAAGCCUUUGUAAUAUCAAAUUUGGAUGUUCUUCAAAGGCAUGGAACCCGACUUAAAAUAUUAGUAAUUUGGUUUCUAGAAGUACAAAAAAAGCAUGUAAUGAUCUAAACUUUUUUUUUUUUUUGGUUAUGUUCUAUUUUUAAUUUAUUAUUGGAUUCUAUUGAAUUAUAAUUUUAUAUAUUUCCCAUACAUAUUAGUUCUUCACCAACAAUAUUUUUGAGAUUUUUUUAUUUAGAAUUUUCUAUUUUUUUAAUAUUUUAAAACUUUAUAUAGAAUCAAUGUCAAAUUGAAAAAAAUAUAAAAUAUGAGGACUAAAAUUGUUAUUAUACCUACUAAAAAAGUGUCACAUACUUAACAGUCGAGUGAGCAAUGAAAACAAUCUUGAAAAUGUUAGUAACCAAAUUGUAACUUUUUUUUAGUUAGAUGACCAAAAUGAAAACUUCCUCAUAAUUUAGUGACUAAUGGUAUAGUUUACCCGAAAACAAUCAACUUAUAAUUUUAACCAAUGAGGAGACUUUGAUAUUAUUGGGAGAGGUUGAAUUUUUUAAGUAUUUUGUAUUAAUAUAGUUUAAGUUAUAUAAUGUGUAAUUGUCAUACGUGGAUAUUUAGUUCCACAAUGUGUUGUUGUUAUGUGUAGAUUUUAGUUUAGUGGAUUGAUUUGAUCAGUUCAAAUUAUUUCAACAUUUAAUGAGCUUUAUAUUAAUUUAAUUCUACUUUAUAAUUUAUUCAGGCAUGUAUUUGUUAUUAUACUAUAAUCACAUUGUAUUGUAAUUGUAAACUAAAACAAAUUUUAUAAUUUAUAUUGUUUUUUAAUAUUAGUUUUACAACCUCACUCAUCAAGAAUUAGUCACUAAAUUUGGGUUAUAAUUAUUUGAUUAUUGAGACUCUGGGUGAAUUUUUUUAGGUAUAAUGAUUUAUCUGACUCUUUAAAUUUAUAUAAAACAAAAAUCAUUUUAGCUUUCCAUUUAAAUUGUUAUUUCUUUUAGCUCUUAAAUUUGUGUUUUUUGUUAAAUCAUCCCAAAAUGAAUAAAAAAAUUAACGUAUGUUAACUUUGUUGACGUUGCAUACAUGUAGAUUGCUAUGUGGAUGCUACCUCAACAAAUAAUUUUUUAAAAAGUUUAAUCAUAAAAAGUCAACAAUCCAAACCCAAAUUGAUCAAAACCUGGAAUGAUUCUAACAAAAAGAAAUUUAAACUUAAAAUAAACUGAUCAGAAAACUAAACUUAAAUGAAUUGAAUCCAAAAUUACUUAAAACUAAACCAUCCUAAAAAUGUUAAAAAUUGAAUUGAUUGAUCCAAAUCACCCAUCCGCUCGAUUGAAUGUCUAAUUAUAGGUAAUAAUUGAAGAUCGUUUAACUACUAUUCGUUUUACCAUUUUUGUUAAGUUAAAAGUUGUAUAUAGAGGGAGGGAGAAGUAGAAAAUAUUUUUAAAGGCCGAAAUUAAAUUAUAACUUUUUACGAUAGUAAAAGUACAAUUUCACAAUUUCAUAACUUUAGUAUUGAAAAUGAAAACGAACACGGGAGUCGCCACCAAUCCUUUUAGAUGAGGUGUGAUCGGGUUACCUCAAAAAGUGAUUAUUUUUGAAUACGACUUGAUUUAUUAAGACAACGAUUUUGGUCCACGAAAUUCAGAAAGAUGGGUUCAGGAGUCAAUUACAUACGAGGAAGGAUUAACACCCUCGUAAUGCCCAAAAUUUGGUAUCUAGUUAAUUAAUUAGUGACUUAGUGUCGAAAAUUAAAAUUUUGAAGAAAUUUUAAAAUACGAUCCUUUGUUAAAAUGAAAAAUUUUUCGAGAACAGGGCAUAUUUCACGUUAAUCGAGAAAAAGAAUUACGUUCCAUAAGUUAGGACACAAUGUCUUGAAUUCCUGAUACAAGAAUAAAUACCGAAAAGUAUAUUUAUUGAAAGGUAUUUGAUUCUCUUGGUUUUAGGAAGAAAGCAUACUUCGUAAGUUAGAAUACGAUUUUUCUUAAUUCCCAAGAUUAUUUAAAAAAAUUACUAAAAAAAUGUUCGUUUAUUUGGAUUUGUCGAGAAAAUCGAAACCCCGUAAAUUAGGGAACGACCUUUUGAAUUUUAAAGUAUGUAAUAUUGCUUAUUUUAAAAAAAUGAAAUUUGAUGUAUAGAGUGAAGAUUAAUGUAACACGAUUUUAUAGUAAAAUGUAAAAAUAUAUUACGGUGCUAGUAUGCAUAACGGACUAAUAACAAAUGUGAUAAUAUAAAUAACAAUAAUACGAGCAAGAAUAAAGAUAAGAUAAAUAAAAAAAGCAAACUAAUUAUAAAAAGAGUAAAUAAACAAAUAAAAACUAAUAAAGAGUUUAAAUAAAAAUUGAAAAUAAACAAACGAAUAAAAGAAUGAAAAUAUUAAAUAAAACAAAUACAAAAGUGAUAAUAAUAAUAAUAAUAAUAAUAAUAAUAAUAAUAAUAAUAAUAAUAAUAAUCCAGAUUUUGAAAGUAUAAAAGAUAGAAAUAAAUAAAUAUUAAAAUGACAUAAUAAAAUAAAUAUAUUUAAAAUAUUUAUAUAAAUAAAUAAUUAAAAUAAUAAUAAUGCAAAAUUAAUUAAUAUAAUAAUAUAGUAAUAAUAAGUAAAUAAAUAGAAGGAAAAAAAUAAUAAUACUAAUGAUAAUAAUAAUUAAUUGAUUAAUUAAUUUAACAAUAACAUAGAAAAAAAUAAAGAAAUAAAAAAUAAUGCUAAUAAUGAAACACAAAAAAAAGGAAAAUAAAUAGUUAAAAAAGCUAUUUAAAAAUACCAAUUUAAUUAAAAUGGGAUAAUAUUAAAUACAGUGACUAAAUAAAUAAUAAAAAAGAAAUCGAGAAUGUACCGAAAACCCAAAGCUACGGGCUUGAUUGAAUGGGCUACACGACUCGAACUAUUAUUUUUCUUUUUGUUUCUUUUUGCAGGUAGCAGGUAGCUAGGGAGGAGUGAGGCCAUGCCCUAGGCCGGUGGUCGGAAAAUCGGGGGUAGGUGCGCAAAUCACGCUUGGCUGCCAGAAGGACCAGAUUGCAAACACAACAAAAUUUCUGAGGCCAAAGUGUGAUUUUGGAAAAUUUGGGCUCAAAAUGUAAUUUUAAGAAAUUUGAGAGUUAAAUUGUAAUUUUAAAUUUUUUAGAUUUUAUUUAUCUUAGGCCCGGGCAAAAUUGGCCUUGUAUGACAAUCCAUAACAAUAGAUAAGCCAGACAAUACAAAAAAAAUCAAGACAAAGACGUGCCAAAAGGCAGAAAAAACCGUGCUAGAAAGAGCAGACAAAUUAAAGGAUAAAUUCAAACAUUUUAAUAUGGAAAAUUUUAUUGACAUUUGAUUGGUAAAUAUGGAUUCCCUUAUACGGAGGCUAUUGCAGCUCGCCUUAAACGUUCAGCCUUCUAAGAAAAAAACUAAGAUGAUUUUAGAAAGAAAAAAAAAUGCUCUUAAUUAUUCCAAUAUGAAUUUAUUUAUUUUUCCCUUCAAUUACAAUUUAUAUAUAAAUAUAUAUAUAUUACACAAAUUACCAAAUUAAAAUAGUAUUACAGUCUUAAAUUUUAUAAAUAAUAUAAUUGAUAAAAAAAUUAUAUACAUAAUUAUAAUUUGGUAAUAAUUUCAUAUAUAUUUAAAAGAAGUAUAUUUAAUUAAUUAUGCCAAAAAAAUGCAUAGAGUAAGUAACAAGUAUUUAGAAAUUUGACUAAGCUCGGAUCUUAAAAUCAACUUGAGAAAAUUUAGGGUGAAAAAGUAGACUUUUUUAAUGACAUUCAUGCUGACAAAGUUGAAUAGUUACCAAUUUGCGAAUAAGAACGGAUUGGUUGAAUCGAUUUUAAAUUGAUCGGACCAAUUGAUUCUCAAUUCGACAUAUUUAAAGUAAAUAAAUUAUUAAAAAAUUAAAAAUAAAUAGUAUAAUAUUAUAAUAUCGAUUCAAUUGCCAAUUCAAUUAACUAGGUUCAAUCAGUCUAUACUAAUUUACAAAUUAACUAGUGUUCUUACCNNNNNNNNNNNNNNNNNNNNNNNNNNNNNNNNNNNNNNNNNNNNNNNNNNNNNNNNNNNNNNNNNNNNNNNNNNNNNNNNNNNNNNNNNNNNNNNNNNNNNNNNNNNNNNNNNNNNNNNNNNNNNNNNNNNNNNNNNNNNNNNNNNNNNNNNNNNNNNNNNNNNNNNNNNNNNNNNNNNNNNNNNNNNNNNNNNNNNNAUAAUAGAUUUUUUAUAUUUUAAAUUAUUUUUAAAAAAUCUAUAUAUUUUAAGUUGAAUUGUCGAAAUUAAUAAUUUUUUUUCCAUUUGGUGUUAUAAGGAAAUUCCUUUCUAGUUUGAAGCGUUUUUCUACAUUUCAACUGAAAACGCUUUUAGCUCCUUAAAUCGGCAUAUUCCCUUAAUUAUUCUAAAAAACAAGAGUUACUAUUAUUAAAUAAAAUAACUAUAUUCAAUGUUUGUUUUUUACUAAUAUAUCAAAUACUUUUACUAUAUGAAUUUAUAAUUUCCUAGCUAUACAUUCAGUUGCUCUCUCUAUAUAACUCCAUUUCUUCUGCAUUCAAUCAUUGAAAACAAAAAUGACCAACUUAUACAACAAGCACGCAGUUCUUGCUUCCGAAGGCUGGUCAUGGGGCUGCCAUGCCCCUGAAUUCGCUCCUCUUAUGGCGGGGGCACUAGUAAUUUUCUGCUGUGCAUGGUGGUGGUGGGAUUUGAAAUUCACCAAAAUAAACCCACCUCUACCACCUGGUCCUUUANNNNNNNNNNNNNNNNNNNNNNNNNNNNNNNNNNNNNNNNNNNNNNNNNNNNNNNNNNNNNNNNNNNNNNNNNNNNNNNNNNNNNNNNNNNNNNNNNNNNNNNNNNNNNNNNNNNNNNNNNNNNNNNNNNNNNNNNNNNNNNNNNNNNNNNNNNNNNNNNNNNNNNNNNNNNNNNNNNNNNNNNNNNNNNNNNNNNCAUCCGCUGUGGUCGGCACAUUUGGUGGACUCAACAUCUUAUGGAGACCCAACGGUCCUAGAUUCAACCAGCUGCGUAAGCUUGUUAUUUGCGAAAUCAUGAGCAAACAAAGCUUGGAUGCUUGCUACGUGCUUCGUCAACGAGAGGUUCGACGAAUGGUGAAGGAGAUUCACGGAAAAGUUGGUUCCUCAGUUAACAUAUAUAAACAAUUAUCAGCAACCGCUCUACGAGUGAUGAUGAGCACGCUAUGGGGUGAUGAUCCAUCGCAAGAUUUGAUUGAGUUUAGGAAACGAUUGGAUGAAAUUAUAGUGACAUUUGCAGCGCCGAAUGUUUCUGAUCUUUUCCCAAUUCUGGCCCCAUUUGAUUUACAAGGAAUUGAAUCCAAAGCGAAGGAGCAAGUGUCGUGGUUUUAUGGGGUUUUUGAAUCAAUGAUAAAGAACCGAAGAAACAUUAGAGAUGAUGGAAAAGAGAAGGAGAAAAUUAGCAAGGAUUUUAUGCAGCAAUUGUUGGAGCUGCACUGGCGAGGAGAUGAGAAAAACUCUUUAUCCAUCAACGAAGUGAAAGCUUUGCUUCUGGUAAAUAACUUUAACACAAUAACAUCCACAUAAGUGUUGAUAUUUUCCAUUUUACAAUAUUUAUCUCUAAAUCUCAUAGGAUUUGAUGGUCGCCGGUACGGAUACAGUACCCACUGCUGUAGAGUGGGCAAUGACCGAACUAUUACGCCAUCGAGAUAAAAUGACGAAACUCGUAAAGGAAUUGGAUAUGGUGGUCGGAAACCAGAACACUGUGGAAGACUCUCAUAUACCUCAACUUGUCUACUUGGAUGCUGUCAUAAAGGAGACACUUCGUCUUCACCCGGUUGCUCCAUUGCUAAUUCCUCAUGUGCCCAGUGAGACCACUGUUAUUGGUGGAUUUACUGUCCCUAAAGGUUGCACGGUUUUCAUUAAUGUANNNNNNNNNNNNNNNNNNNNNNNNNNNNNNNNNNNNNNNNNNNNNNNNNNNNNNNNNNNNNNNNNNNNNNNNNNNNNNNNNNNNNNNNNNNNNNNNNNNNUUAACUAUCGAGGCAACAAUUUGGGGUUUUUUCCAUUUGGUUCAGGGAGGAGGAUGUGUGUUGGGGUUUCUCUGGCAGAGAAGAUGAUGGCACUGCUCUUGGGCUCUUUGGUGCACUCUUUUGAAUGGGGAUUGUCAGAGGGGACUUAGCCUAGUUUAGAAGAUAAAUUUGGGAUUUUUUUGAAGAAAACGGAAUCACUUGUUGCUAUACCCGUUGCAUGGAGCAAUACCAAUGAAUAUGUUCAGUUUGUGUGUAAUCAUAAGCAAUAUGAUACGCAUGUUAAAUAAUUGUUACUACGUAAGAAAAUAAAUAAGACUUUACAUAAUAAAGUUGAACCAUUAGAGAUUAUAAAUCUCUUAGGUUUAAAUCCUAAAAAUUUAUAUGGAUAUGUUUUUAAAUGAAAUAUAUA
This 22875-nucleotide long non-coding RNA is filed under the name Gossypium raimondii (Peruvian cotton). RNAcentral's name for it is "long non-coding RNA (GRAI_LNC007797)". The record is from RNAcentral. Lineage: Eukaryota; Viridiplantae; Streptophyta; Magnoliopsida; Malvales; Malvaceae.